AGAGUUUGAUCCUGGCUCAGAACGAACGCUGGCGGCGUGCUUUACACAUGCAAGUCGAACGUGAUCCGGAGCUUGCUCCGGUGAAAGUGGCGCACGGGUGAGUAACGCGUGGAUAAUCUGCCCUGGUAUCUGGGAUAGCAUCUCGAAAGGGGUGCUAAUACCGGAUAAGCCUACGGACUCUUCGGAGUCUGCAGGAAAAGGUGGCCUCUAUUUAUAAGCUACCGUAUCAGGAUGAGUCCGCGUACCAUUAGCUAGUUGGUGGGGUAAUGGCCCACCAAGGCUACGAUGGUUAGCUGGUCUGAGAGGAUGAUCAGCCACACUGGAACUGAGACACGGUCCAGACUCCUACGGGAGGCAGCAGUGGGGAAUUUUGCGCAAUGG
Molecule: ribosomal RNA, 381 nt
Filed under: uncultured bacterium
Lineage: Bacteria
Description: bacterial SSU rRNA
Rfam family: Bacterial small subunit ribosomal RNA
Source: RNAcentral